GCGCGAAAACUUUACAAUGCGAGAAAUCGUGAUAAGGGAACCCCGAGUGCCCGUAAAUUCGGGCUGUUAAUCUGUUUAAAAAGCAGGUGGAGAAAGGGCCGGGCAAGACCGGUGCCAGCCGCCGCGGUAAUACCGGCGGCUCGAGUGGUGGCCACUAUUACUGGGCUUAAAGCGUCCGUAGCUGGAUUGUUAAGUCUCUUGGGAAAUCUACCGGCUUAACCGAUAGGCGUUCAAGGGAUACUGGCAAUCUAGGGACCGGGAGAGGUGAGAGGUACUCCAGGGGUAGGAGUGAAAUCCUGUAAUCCUUGGGGGACCACCUGUGGCGAAGGCGUCUCACCAGAACGGCUCCGACAGUGAGGGACGAAAGCUGGGGGAGCAAACCGG
RNAcentral lists this ribosomal RNA (384 nucleotides) under uncultured bacterium. RNAcentral's name for it is "bacterial SSU rRNA". It matches the Rfam family "Archaeal small subunit ribosomal RNA", at positions 339 to 727 of the family's 1478-position model. The record is from RNAcentral.